RNAcentral lists this ribosomal RNA (460 nucleotides) under uncultured bacterium. RNAcentral describes it as "partial 16S ribosomal RNA". It matches the Rfam family "Bacterial small subunit ribosomal RNA", at positions 338 to 795 of the family's 1533-position model. The record is from RNAcentral.
CCUACGGGUGGCUGCAGUGAGGAAUAUUGGUCAAUGGGAGAGAUCCUGAACCAGCCAAGCCGCGUGAGGGAAGACGGCCCUAUGGGUUGUAAACUGCUUUUAUACGGGAAUAACGCGCCUUACGUGUAGGGCUUUGCAUGUACCGUAUGAAUAAGGACCGGCUAAUUCCGUGCCAGCAGCCGCGGUAAUACGGAAGGUCCGGGCGUUAUCCGGAUUUAUUGGGUUUAAAGGGAGCGUAGGCCGCAUGUCAAGCGUGCUGUGAAAUGUCCGGGCUCAACCCGGGCCUUGCAGCGCGAACUGGCGUGCUUGAGUCCGCGGAAAGCAGGCGGAAUUCGUCGUGUAGCGGUGAAAUGCUUAGAUAUGACGAAGAACCCCGAUUGCGAAGGCAGCUUGCUGCAGCGGAACUGACGCUGAUGCUCGAAAGCGCGGGUAUCGAACAGGAUUAGAUACCCGUGUAGUC